UACGGAGGCAUCUCCUGUGCGUGGAAAGAAUUUUGGUCAAGGAUGGACUCGCGGCCUAUCAGGUAGUUGGUGAGGUAACGGCUCACCAAGCCUACGACGGGUAGCCGGCCUGAGAGGGUGACCGGCCACACUGGGACUGAGACACGGCCCAGACUCCUACGGGAGGCAGCAGUGGGGAAUAUUGCACAAUGGGCGCAAGCCUGAUGCAGCAACGCCGCGUGAGGGAUGACGGCCUUCGGGUUGUAAACCUCUUUUAGUAGGGAAGAAGCGAAAGUGACGGUACCUGCAGAAAAAGCACCGGCUAACUACGUGCCAGCAGCCGCGGUAAUACGUAGGGUGCAAGCGUUGUCCGGAAUUAUUGGGCGUAAAGAGCUCGUAGGCGGUUUGUCGCGUCUGCUGUGAAAACCCGAGGCUCAACCUCGGGCCUGCAGUGGGUACGGGCAGACUAGAGUGCGGUAGGGGAGAAUGGAAUUCCUGGUGUAGCGGUGGAAUGCGCAGAUAUCAGGAGGAACACCGAUGGCGAAGGCAGUUCUCUGGGCCGUAACUGACGCUGAGGAGCGAAAGCGUGGGGAGCGAACAGGAUUAGAUACCCUGGUAGUCCACGCCG
RNAcentral lists this ribosomal RNA (607 nucleotides) under Cryocola sp. RNAcentral describes it as "bacterial SSU rRNA". It matches the Rfam family "Bacterial small subunit ribosomal RNA", at positions 182 to 802 of the family's 1533-position model. Lineage: Bacteria; Bacillati; Actinomycetota; Actinomycetes; Micrococcales; Microbacteriaceae. The record is from RNAcentral.